GAUCUGGCUCAGGAUGAACGCUAGCUACAGGCUUAACACAUGCAAGUCGAGGGCAGCAGGACGAUAGCUUGCUAUUGUUGCUGGCGACCGGCGCACGGGUGAGUAACGCGUAUCCAACCGUCCCCUUAGUAGGGCAUAGCCCGGUGAAAAUCGGAUUAAUACCCUAUGUUGUGUCAUGAGGACAUCUGAAUAACACUAAAGAUUUAUCGCUAAGGGAUGGGGAUGCGUCCGAUUAGGUAGUCGGCGGGUAACGGCCCACCGAGCCCUCGAUCGGUAGGGUUCUGAGAGGAAGGUCCCCCACACUGGUACUGAGACACGGACCAGACUCCUACGGGAGGCAGCAGUGAGGAAUAUUGGUCAAUGGGCGUAAGCCUGAACCAGCCAAGUAGCGUGCAGGAUGACGGCCCUAUGGGUUGUAAACUGCUUUUAUACGGGGAUAAAGUGAGGGACGUGUCCCUUAUUGUAGGUACCGUAUGAAUAAGGACCGGCUAAUUCCGUGCCAGCAGCAGC
RNAcentral lists this ribosomal RNA (510 nucleotides) under uncultured bacterium. RNAcentral's name for it is "bacterial SSU rRNA". It matches the Rfam family "Bacterial small subunit ribosomal RNA", at positions 15 to 518 of the family's 1533-position model. The record is from RNAcentral.